This is a long non-coding RNA of Trichomycterus rosablanca, 314 nucleotides long. RefSeq lists it as uncharacterized. The transcript is spliced from 4 exons. NCBI's taxonomy places the organism in Eukaryota, Metazoa, Chordata, Actinopteri, Siluriformes, Trichomycteridae. The record is from RefSeq and is a predicted model, not a curated record.
UCAUAGAAGAGCUCCAGCUAGAACAGCAGCACCAACUAAAAUCAAAGAAUGAGAUCCCAGACCAGAGCAAUGACCUGGUAGAGGAAGAUUUGGCUCCAUGCUUUAUAAUAUCUGCUUGGCCGGGGCCAUCUGACCCGAUUUACUCCGGUGAAAUAUCUAAAGAGUGCAUCAUUGUGCCUUCUAAGGAAGCUGAAAGUGUUGAGUUUACUUCCGAAGUGGAGAAAACAUCAGCUAGAACCAAAACCAAGAAAAAGAAAGGAGCAUGGGCCGUCCUCAGACGAGCAUGGAAAGUACUGGACGCACCAAGAUUUCAC